RNAcentral lists this ribosomal RNA (1904 nucleotides) under Euscyrtus japonicus. RNAcentral describes it as "SSU rRNA". It matches the Rfam family "Eukaryotic small subunit ribosomal RNA". Lineage: Eukaryota; Metazoa; Arthropoda; Insecta; Orthoptera; Gryllidae. The record is from RNAcentral.
CAUGUCUCAGUGCAAGCCGCAGUAAGGUGAAACCGCGAAUGGCUCAUUAAAUCAGUUAUGGUUCCUUGGACCUUGGCCUUUACUUGGAUAACUGUGGCAAUUCUAGAGCUAAUACAUGCAAUCAGUCUCGACCAGAGAUGGAAGAGACGCUUUUAUUAGAUCAAAACCAAUCGGCCGGCUUCGCGCCGGCCGCACGUUUUGGUGACUCUGGAUAACUUUGGGCGGAUCGCACGGUCUCCGCACCGGCGACGUACCCUUCAAAUGUCUGCCUUAUCAACUUACGAUGGUAGGCUCUGCGCCUACCAUGGUUAUAACGGGUGACGGGGAAUCAGGGUUCGAUUCCGGAGAGGGAGCCUGAGAAACGGCUACCACAUCCAAGGAAGGCAGCAGGCGCGCAAAUUACCCACUCCCGGCACGGGGAGGUAGUGACGAAAAAUAACGAUACGGGACUCAUCCGAGGCCCCGUAAUCGGAAUGAGUACACUUUAAAUCCUUUAGCAAGUAUCAAUUGGAGGGCAAGUCUGGUGCCAGCAGCCGCGGUAAUUCCAGCUCCAAUAGCGUAUAUUAAAGUUGCUGCGGUUAAAAAGCUCGUAGUUGGCGGUGUGUCCCGCGCUACCGGUUCACCGCUCGUCGGUGUCUAACUGGCACGCAUGCGGGACGUCCUGCUGGUGGAGGCGAGUCGAAGGCCCGGUGCGGGCAUUGCUGCGGCUCCGUCGUCCCGUCGUCGUCGCGUUGGAGCGCGUUUGCCCGGGAACCGCUUCGCGGCGGUCUCCCGGCGCGGCCGUUCUGCGCGUGCGCUUCGGAACCAGGCGGCGGGGCGGGCUUGCCUUAGCUACCGACCGGAGGCGGACCCCGAUGUCACCCGCCGCGGUGCUCUUCACUGAGUGUCGCGCGGGCCGGCACGUUUACUUUGAACAAAUUAGAGUGCUUAAAGCAGGCCUUUUACUGCCUGAAUAUUGUGUGCAUGGAAUAAUGGAAUAGGACCUCGGUUCUAUUUUGUUGGUUUUCGGAGCCCGAGGUAAUGAUUAAUAGGGAUUGCCGGGGGCAUCCGUAUUGCGACGUUAGAGGUGAAAUUCUUGGAUCGUCGCAAGACGAACUGAAGCGAAAGCGUUUGCCAAGUAUGUUUUCUUUAAUCAAGAACGAAAGUCAGAGGUUCGAAGGCGAUCAGAUACCGCCCUAGUUCUGACCAUAAACUAUGCCAUCUUGCGAUUCGCUGUGUGUCAACGAUGUCACGGCGGGCAGCAACCGGGAAACCAAAGAUUCUGGGUUCCGGGGGAAGUAUGGUUGCAAAGCUGAAACUUAAAGGAAUUGACGGAAGGGCACCACCAGGAGUGGGGCCUGCGGCUUAAUUUGACUCAACACGGGAAACCUCACCAGGCCAGGACACUGGAAGGAUUGACAGAUUGAGAGCUCUUUCUUGAUUCGGUGGGCGGUGGUGCAUGGCCGUUCUUAGUUCGUGGGGCGACUUGUCUGGUUAAUUCCGUUAACGAACGAGACCCUGGCCUGCUAACUAGUCGAUACCGGCAUCCUUGGUGCAGCCGGCGAUCAAACAUCUUCUUAGAGGGACUGGCGGCUUCUAGCCGCAGGAAGUAGGGCAAUAACAGGUCAGUGAUGCCCUUAGAUGUUCUGGGCAGCACGCGCGCCACACUGAAGGGAUCAACGUGUGUUUUCCUAGUCUGAGAAGACCGGGUAACCCGUUGAAUGUCCUUCGUGCUAGGGAUUGGGGCUUGCAAUUGUUCCCCAUGAACGAGGAAUUUCUAGUAAGCGGGAAUCAUUAGUUCCCGUUGAUUAUGUCCCUGCCCUUUGUACACACCGCCCGUCGCUACUACCGAUUGAAUGAUUUAGUGAGGUCUUCGGACCAGAGCGCGGGCUCCGGCUGGCGCUCCGGAAAGAUGACCGAACUUG